GCAGGCAGCAGUAAAGAAUGCCUUUCAUUCCUGGGAAUGUGAGCAAUAAUUGCGCUUUGGCCACAGCACCUGCUUGCUUGCACCAAAAUGUCGCUGCGGCAGCACGAGCUGCCAGGACCCACAGGGAGAAGGGACCUUUGGGAGAAGGAGAGCUUUGCAGAAGCACAGCAGGUGUUGCCCCUGCUCUGUUCAAGGCUUUGUAACCUUGGGGAAGUCAAUUUGGUUCCUUUCAUUUCUGGGCUGGUGGCACAGGUGGGGACAUGCUGCCCCAUACUGCAGCCGGCACCAGCAGAUCCCAACCCUGCCUGAUGUACAUCACCGUAGACGGCUCUGCCUUCUCAUGAUUUCUCAUUUUGCUUCCUCUGUCUCAGUAAGAAAAUAUCAUCCAGCUCAUGACAUUUCCUUGAAGUUGCUUGUGAGCUGUUCCCGGUGCUCACCAGGGCAGUGCUGCACACAGCCGGCAGGAUUUGAGCCAGCUUCUCCACCCAGCGCCGGGGCUGAUGAACUCCCCGGAGAUGUGUUUGCCAUCACCAUGGCCUUUAAGGAGUCCUGGAACACGGUCUAAUUUCAUGAUUUUUUCCAUCUGGCUUGCCAGUUUAAAGCCGUUUUCACACAUGGACAAAAAUAACUUCAUUUUUCUCACAUGAGCUCUGGAAGCAGGGGCUUGUGUUGGUGAAAGGACACCAGGCAUCCACGGGAGCAGCUGGGACACAGCAGGUGCCUCUUAUCCCCUGUAGACAGUGGGCAGGGGGCACACAGGGACAACCCUCAGGCAAAGAGGGGAUGAAUGCCAGCACUGGAAUGCUGUCACAGCUCUGACAUCCCAGGGUCAACCCCAUGCUGCCCUCUCGUCCACCACAUGUCAUUGUCCCCGAGCCCCUUCUCACGGGACAGCUUUUAGCCCUGCUGAAAGCAGCACCAAAGGGAGGAGGCGAGAUGCCGAUGACCUCGCUGCUGAUGUCAGAGCAGAGCUCUGCACUUCGUUGCCAUGGCAAUGGAGCGAGGACCACAACACACAUUUUCUGGCACUACGUCAGCUGCUCCCACUGCAUCCCGGGGAAUGUUCUCACGGGACCGUGGGCUUCACAUGCUGCAGUCUCAUUCUUGGGUUCCUCACCUUGCAGGGACCAUGAUGCUCCCCUUCCAAGCAUGUUUCUCAGAGACAAAGCCUGAAGAAAUGGUGCCAGAGCAAUGAAAAUGCCCUGCAAACCCAAGCACUGCCUGUACACGUGGUUCUUAAUGUGCGGCACGCCUUUCCAUCAAGCUAAACAAUGCUGACCAUCAUUUCCAGGACAGACUGCCUUCGGUAACGCCUUAAUAAACUUUUCCCUUUGUUUGAGAUUUUGGUUUCC
Molecule: long non-coding RNA, 1352 nt
Filed under: Phasianus colchicus (ring-necked pheasant)
Lineage: Eukaryota; Metazoa; Chordata; Aves; Galliformes; Phasianidae
Description: lncRNA (ENSPCLG00000012112.1)
Source: RNAcentral